This 512-nucleotide ribosomal RNA is filed under the name uncultured bacterium. RNAcentral's name for it is "bacterial SSU rRNA". It matches the Rfam family "Bacterial small subunit ribosomal RNA", at positions 36 to 518 of the family's 1533-position model. The record is from RNAcentral.
CUGGCGGCGUGCCUAAUACAUGCAAGUCGAACGGUCUUUCUAUGGAAGCUUGCUUCCACUGGGAAGGAUAGUGGCGAACGGGUGAGUAACACGUGGGUAACCUGCCCAUAAGAGGGGGAGUAACAUCCGGAAACGGGUGCUAAUACCGCAUAGUUUUCUUGAUUGCAUGAUUGAGAAAGGAAAGACGGCCUUUGUGCUGUCGCUUAUGGAUGGACCCGCGGCGUAUUAGUUAGUUGGUGAGGUAACGGCUCACCAAGACGAUGAUACGUAGCCGACCUGAGAGGGUGAUCGGCCACAUUGGGACUGAGACACGGCCCAAACUCCUACGGGAGGCAGCAGUAGGGAAUCUUCCGCAAUGGACGAAAGUCCGACGGAGCAACGCCGCGUGAGUGAAGAAAGGGUUUUCGGAUCGUAAAACUCUGUUGUCAGAGAAGAACAAGUUGGAGAGUAACUGCUCCAGCCUUGACGGUAUCUGACCAGAAAGCCACGGCUAACUACGUGCCAGCAGCGGC